GAUGAACGCUGGCGGCGUGCCUAACACAUGCAAGUCGAGCGAGGGUUUGCUCAGUAUUGAGUAUUCUAACAACUAGAAUGUUCAAUUCUGAGCAAAACCAAGCGGCGGACGGGUGAGUAACGCGUGGGUAACCUGCCCUAUACACAUGGAUAACAUACUGAAAAGUUUACUAAUACAUGAUAAUAUAUAUUUGCGGCAUCGCAGAUAUAUCAAAGUGUUAGCGGUAUAGGAUGGACCCGCGUCUGAUUAGCUAGUUGGUGAGAUAACUGCCCACCAAGGCGACGAUCAGUAGCCGACCUGAGAGGGUGAUCGGCCACAUUGGAACUGAGACACGGUCCAAACUCCUACGGGAGGCAGCAGUGGGGAAUAUUGCACAAUGGGCGAAAGCCUGAUGCAGCAACGCCGCGUGAACGAUGAAGGUCUUCGGAUCGUAAAGUUCUGUUGCAGGGGAAGAUAAUGACGGUACCCUGUGA
RNAcentral lists this ribosomal RNA (473 nucleotides) under Peptostreptococcus stomatis. RNAcentral's name for it is "bacterial SSU rRNA". It matches the Rfam family "Bacterial small subunit ribosomal RNA", at positions 28 to 485 of the family's 1533-position model. The record is from RNAcentral. Lineage: Bacteria; Bacillati; Bacillota; Clostridia; Peptostreptococcales; Peptostreptococcaceae.